This 421-nucleotide unclassified non-coding RNA is filed under the name soil metagenome. RNAcentral describes it as "partial contains 5.8S ribosomal RNA, internal transcribed spacer 2, and large subunit ribosomal RNA". The stretch from base 1 to 121 matches the Rfam family "5.8S ribosomal RNA", at positions 35 to 154 of the family's 154-position model. The record is from RNAcentral.
GAUGAAGAACGUAGUGAAUUGCGAUAAGUAAUGUGAAUUGCAGAUUUUCAGUGAAUCAUCGAAUCUUUGAACGCACCUUGCGCUCCUUGGUAUUCCGAGGAGCAUGCCUGUUUGAGUGUCAUCGAAUUCUCAACCAUGUCUUGAUUGAUUUUCAAGGCCCAUGGCUUGGAGGUUGGGGGUUGCUGGCGGCGACAAGCUGUCGGCUCUCCUGAAAUGCAUUAGCGAAGGGCAGCAAGUCUUCGACGUGCACGGCCUUCGACGUGAUAAUGAUCGUCGUGGCUGGAGCGUUGGACAUGCAUGAAUGGUCCUGUGCUUCUAAUCUCUCCCCCCCCCCCUCACGCCUUAUGGCGUGUGUUUCGAAACUUGACCUCAAAUCAGGUAGGACUACCCGCUGAACUUAAGCAUAUCAAUAAGCGGAGGA